AUGCAGUAUUUGCCAAGGUUGUUAUCUCACAUUGUUGCUAUCUUGAGAGGUGUCCGGUCCCAGGUGCAGCUGGUGGAGUCCGGAGGGGAUGUGAAAAAGCCCGGAGACUCUCUCCGCCUCUCCUGCAAAGCCUCCGGGUUCACCUUCAGCAGCCACUGGAUGGACUGGGUCCGCCAGGCUCCCGGGAAGGGGCUUGAGUGGGUCUCGGGAAUUAGCGGAGGGGGCAGCACGUAUUACCCCGCUUCAGUCCGGGGUCGCUUCACCAUCUCCAGAGACACCUCCAGCAACCGGCUGUACUUGCUAAUGACCGGCCUGACACCCGAGGACACCGCCGUGUACUACUGCGCCAGAGAGCCACACAGCAGCUGA
Mauremys mutica (yellowpond turtle) is the source of this 369-nucleotide non-coding RNA. NCBI's taxonomy places the organism in Eukaryota, Metazoa, Chordata, Testudines, Geoemydidae. The record is from the annotation of a RefSeq genome assembly.